Mustela erminea (ermine) is the source of this 626-nucleotide long non-coding RNA. RefSeq lists it as uncharacterized. Lineage: Eukaryota; Metazoa; Chordata; Mammalia; Carnivora; Mustelidae. The record is from RefSeq and is a predicted model, not a curated record. The transcript is spliced from 6 exons.
CUGGCGUGCCUAAGCUGGUACCUGCUUGUUACCUAAAAUAGUAGUAAAAGAUACCUGUACGGAGAGCUUGGGAGGCAUUUCCAUAGGCUCAUUGUCAAGUGAAAAUUAAAGCCCCCACUCACUGGGAAGCAAAGGGUGAAGAAAUAAGACACUAUAUGGCUCUGCUUUUUAGUGCAUGGAUCAGAGACACAUCUAUGAACAACUGCCUGUGCAAUUGAUUACUGGGCAAUAUAAUUUCUCAGUUUUUAUGGGUAAAUGAGUGCUUCUCGCCAUGGACCUAGCUUGUGCAUCAAUUUAGUUCCAUUAACUUGCUUUGGAUUCAUGGAAAUUCUGUACAGAGAUGUGAGAAUGACUACAAUUUGAGGUAUCUGUUAAAUACAGCAACAUGACAUCACAAGGUUUUUUGAAGUCAAUCAUCAAUACCUUUAACUUAUAUAUAUAGGAGUAUGAAUCUCUAAAAGGAUUAUUUUGGAAUCUUCUGGAUAUGAGAGAUAGUAAAAAGGUGAAACAGUAGGACUGGAACAUAAGGGGAGAAAUAGAGAAAACCAUGGUUUCCAUACUCUUUGGAGAAUAAUUCAUUUGUUGGUUUGUUUGUAUAAGGCUCUUUGAAGAGAUCAACAAAGGGA